CCCUAACUAGCUUUUCCCCCUGGGUUGUUCUCUCCCUUACAGCAUUCUGCUUUCUGGACUGUAGCUCUUCUGUUCCUCAGAGAUGAGGUCCCCUGGAUGCAAGAGCCUAUGGAAGGAGCCUGCACCCUCUCCGAGGACCCUCUGAAAUAGAGGGCACAACUUGGGCCCAUCCCCAGUGGGGGAAGCUCAUCCAAGGAUUCUUUUAGACAGUGCAGAUAUUCGUAUGUUCUCUGGACUUUAUACCUUCUGAAUAAAGAUGUGUUCUUGGGCCACA
Herpailurus yagouaroundi (jaguarundi) is the source of this 274-nucleotide long non-coding RNA. RefSeq lists it as uncharacterized. The transcript has 2 exons. Lineage: Eukaryota; Metazoa; Chordata; Mammalia; Carnivora; Felidae. The record is from RefSeq and is a predicted model, not a curated record.